RNAcentral lists this ribosomal RNA (407 nucleotides) under uncultured bacterium. RNAcentral describes it as "partial 16S ribosomal RNA". It matches the Rfam family "Bacterial small subunit ribosomal RNA", at positions 28 to 526 of the family's 1533-position model. The record is from RNAcentral.
GACGAACGCUGGCGGCGUGCCUAAUACAUGCAAGUAGGACGCAUUUGCGAACGGUAGAGUAACGCGUAGGUGACUACCUAUUAUAGGGGGAUAACUAUUGGAACCGAUAGCUAAUACCGCAUACUAGUAGAUGGACCUGCGUUGUAUUAACUAGUAGGUAGGGGAAUGGCAUACCAAGGCAACGAUACAUAACCCACCUGAGAGGGUGAACGGCCAACACGGGAAUGGAACAAGGCCCAGACUCCUACGGGAGGCAGCAGGAGGGAAUCUUCGGCAAUGGGGGGAACCCUGACCGAGCAACGCCGCGUGAGUGAAGAAGGUUUUCGGAUCGUAAAGCUCUGUUGUGAAGGAAGCGGUACUUAACCAGAAAGGGACGGCUAACUACGUGCCAGCAGCCGCGGUAAUUC